CGGACGGCUGAGUAACGCGUAGGUGACCUGCCCCGAAGUGGGGAAUAACUGCCCGAAAGGGUGGCUAAUACCGCAUGUGGUGGUUCGUUCAUUCGAACCAUCAAAGCAGUAAUGCGCUUCGGGAGGGGCCUGCGUCCGAUUAGCUCGUUGGUGGGGUAACGGCUCACCAAGGCGACGAUCGGUAGGUGGUCUGAGAGGACGAUCACCCAGACUGGGACUGAGACACGGCCCAG
RNAcentral lists this ribosomal RNA (233 nucleotides) under uncultured bacterium. RNAcentral's name for it is "partial 16S ribosomal RNA". It matches the Rfam family "Bacterial small subunit ribosomal RNA", at positions 99 to 334 of the family's 1533-position model. The record is from RNAcentral.